Molecule: long non-coding RNA, 1882 nt
Organism: Mustela erminea (ermine)
Lineage: Eukaryota; Metazoa; Chordata; Mammalia; Carnivora; Mustelidae
Exons: 3
Source: RefSeq, a predicted model, not a curated record
CCAUAACCUGAGCCAAAAACAGAUGCUUAACUUAAUGAGCCAUCCAAGUGUCCCUAAAAUAAACUUUAUUCUUAAGCUAGGAUUUGUUGGGUAUUUUCUAUGUACCCACUAAGCUAAAUUCAUGUUCCUAAAAGGCAGACACCAUUAAAUGCCCAUUACAUAGAUGAGGAACUAAGACUUACAGAUAUUAAGCAUCUUCCUCAAAGUCAUGCAUCUGUAAGAGAUGAUCUGAGAUUUGCAUCCAGGAUUGUAGCUUCUUUUACAACAGUGUUUACUGCUUCCAUGAGUUCCAGUUUUUACUCAAAGCGAGACUGUGGAGAGUCUCCUGGCCUGUAUGCUUGUCAAAUGGUUAAAGGAGACAGAGUAGUUGGCUUUCUAACAGUCACAGUACCAUCACUGCAGUUGUCUUCUUAGAUGCAAUGCCAUUCUCACAGGAAAUGUGGCACUCCUGGGCAUCCGUCAGGGGCAUGAGCAUUGCAGGCCAUGCACACCCAUGUCUCGUGCUCCCUGUGGCUCCCACAUCCUCUUACUGAUGCACCAUACAAAGGGUUUGUAGGAGGCUUUCAAGUGGAGGAAAGCCACUAGCAGACUUCAGGACCCUAAAUUAGCAUUCUAUGGAGGAAUGCUAAUGUCUAUCACCUGCAUAAAAUGACCUCUGAACAGGGAAGUAAAGCAACAAGGCAUUGAGAAUGGCAUGGGGGCCAGGUUGUCAUUGCUACAAAGCUCCAUGAACAGUGUCCAUCUUGCAAGGCUUUCCCAUGAUGUGCCUUUUCCACUGCAUUUUCCCUUUUUGACACUCUAAAUAAAUGACAGCCAGAUGCAGAACAACAACAACAAAAAGCAUCCAAAUAUUUACCUAUCAGGAAGCAAUUGUAUGAAAAAAAUCAGUUACGAGUGAGGUUUCCAAUUUGUAUAAAUGCUCAGAUUUGUCCCACAGGUUAUUAAAGUUGAACAACAGGCUUCCCAUUCUCUUUAGAGGCCAAACACUGCAAAGCUAUUAACUUGCAUACAUCUUGUGUGCUUCAAAAUUGAAAUUAGCUUCUUUAAUUGCAUCAGCAUAGACCACAUAUCUGUUCCUCAGAGAACCUGUUUUUAAAGGUAGUUUGAAAUUAAGUGACUCCAUGGCCUACGUGGGUGUCAUGGUAACAGCUAGAAAACAAAGUGACUUAUUGUGUAAUUGGGGACAAUGCAGGGAAAAUUGAAAUAAUGAGGGGAUUGUCUUUCUUUCUACUUCUUUAGAUUUCAUUGCUGGCAAUUAAGUACUAAUUAGUUCCUCUGAUGUCUGAUGCUUUGAGGCACACAUAGCAAAUAGUGAGCCGGAAAAUUGAGUGGAAACCCCUAAUCACUUAGAUAAUGAUCCCAGUAGAAGCUUCCUCAGGAGAAUUUUUUCAUGAUAUUACCAGGUGGGACCUGGGUCCUCCUGGUCCUCUGUGUUCAUUUGAUUCAGCACAGGCCAGUUCCACCAGCAAAGGAAGCCAGCUCACUUCUUCAGUACUCUGGGGAAGCAAAGGAAUCAGAGGAAAUGGAGCGUGGAGAUUGGCAUUCUGAGGAAGAGGCAGAAGAGUUCAAGAAGAAACAGUGAGGAUGACUAAGAAACACAGGGGCAUGGGGUGGAGAAGAGAAGGAAGAAGACAGCUUAGGCUCUGCCCUGCUACCAAUGACAGUGCUUGGUAAUAGUCUUAUAGACUGAAGAUUUCCAGGAGACCCCUCUAUUGAAUCCUUGUUGAUUCAGAGUUUACCUAACACAGCAGAUGGUCUUUGGAGUGUGGUUUUGGAGUUGGAUUCAUGAACCAAACCCAUGAGCUGACUUCUCAAGUGUAGCAGAUUCUUGCUUAAGAAUGCUUGGAUCAACCAGGAAAUCAAAAAAGAACUGAAACAAUUC